ACCAGAACUAAUGUAAGGAAGCUGAUGUUGUUCACCAUGGCAGAGGAAGUGGUUCUUGCAGUAGUUCUGGUUGUUGUUGGGGUUGUUGUUGGGGUGGUUGCUGAGGUUGUUGUAGUGGUUGUACUUGUUGUUGGGGCAGUUGAGGUUGUUGUUGGGGUCGUUGCUGAUGUCGUUGUAGUGGUUGUAGUUGUUGUUGGGGUCGUUGCUGAUGUCGUUGUAGUGGUUGUAGUUGUUGGGGUAGUUGUGCUUGUUGUUGGGGUAGUUGCUGAGGUUUUUGUAGUGGUUGUACUUGUUGUUGGGAUACUUGAGGUUGUUGUAGGGGUAGUUAUAGAUGUUGUUGUACUGGCUGUGGUUGUUGUUGGGGUAGUUGAGGUUGCUGUUGGAGCAGCUGUGGUUGUUGUUGGGGCAGCUGUUGUAGUUGUGGUUGAGGUUGUUGUCACCACAGCUGUAGUUGUUGUAGUUGGGGCUGCAAUUGUAGAUGUUGUUGGGGCAGCUGUUGUGGUCCUUGUAGGGGCAGCAGUCGUGGUUGUUGGGGCUGCUGUUGUGGUUGUUGUUGGGGCACCUGUUGUGGUUGUAGUUGGUGCGGCUGUUGUGCUUGUUAAAGCAGCUGUGCUCGUGGCUGCAGUUGUGGUUGUUAAUGGGGAUGCUGUAGUUGUCGUUGUUGGGGCAGUUGUUGUGGUUGUUGUUGGGGCUGCAGUUGUAGUUGUUGGCACAGCUGUUGUGGUUGUAGUUUGGAAAGUUGUCGUGGUUGUUGUUGGUGUAGCUGUAGUAGUUGUUUUUGGGACUGAAGUUGUUGUGGUUGUUGUUUGGGCACCUGUAGUUGUUGAUGUGGGGGUGGUUGUUGUGGUUGUUGUUGGUGCUGCAGAUAUGGUUGUUGUUGGAGCAGGUGUAGUUGUUGUUGUUGGGCUAGCUGUUGUGGUUGUGGUUGUUUGAGAAGCUGUGGUUGUCACUGUAGUUGUAAUUGUUGUUGGUGAAACAGUUGUGGUUGUUGUGGUUGUUGUUGGUGAAGCUGUACUAGUUGUUGUUGGUACAGCAGUUGUUGUGGUUGUUGUUGGGGCAGCAGUAGUUGUUGUUGUUGGGGCAUCUGUUGUGGUUGUUGUUGGGCCUGGUGUUGUAGUUGUUGGUGCAGCAGUUGUGGUUGUUGUUUGGGCAGCUGUAGUUGUUGGCGCAGCAGUUGUGGUUGUUGAGGUUGUUGUUGGUGCAGCUGUAGUAGUUGUUGUUGGGACUGCAGUUGUUGUGGUUGUUGAUGGGGCAGCUGUAGUUGUUGUUGUUGUGGUUGGUGGCGCAGCUGUAGUUGUUGUUGUUGGGGCAGCUGUAGUUGUUGUUGUUGGUGCACCUGUAGUAGUUGUUGUUGUGAAUGUAGUUGUUGUGCUUGUUGUUGGGGCAGCAGUUGUAGUUGUUGGCACAUCAGUUAUGGAUGUUGUUUGGGCUACUGUAGCAGCAGUUGUUGGGGCAGCUGUUGUGGUUGGGGCAGCUGUAGUUGUUUUUGGGGUGGCUGUUGUGGUUGUUGUUGGGCCUGGCGUUGUAGUUGUUGGCGCAGCAGUUGUGGUUGUUGUUGGGGCAGCUGUAGUUGUUGUUGUUGGAGCUGCAGUUGUUGUUGUUGGCGCUGCAGUUGUGGUUGUUGUCGGUGCAGCUGUAAUUGUUGUUGUUGUGACUGCAAUUGUUGUUGUUGGGGCAGCGGUUGUGGUUGUUGUUGGGGCAGCUGUAGUUGUUGUUGUGUGGGCGCUUGUUGUGGUUUUUGUUGGAGCUGCAGUUGUGGUUGUUGGGGCGGCUGUUGUGGUUGUUGUUGGGGCAGCUGUAGUUGUUGUUGUUGGGGCGGCUGUUGUGGUUGUUGUUGGGGCAGCUGUAGUUGUUGUUGUUGGGGCGGCAGUUGUGGUUGUUGUUGGGGCAGCUGUAGUUGUUGUUGUUGGGGCUGCAGUAGUUGUUGUUGGGGCAGCUGUAGUCGUUGUUGGGGCGGCUGUUGUUGUUGUAGGGGCAGUUGUAGCAGUUGUUGGGGCAGCUGUAGUUGUUGUUGUUGUUGGGGCUGUAGUUGUUGUUGUUGGGGCAGCUGUAGCAGUUGUGGUUGUUGUUGGGGCAGCUGUAGUUGUUGUUGUUGGGGCUGCAGUUGUGGUUGUUGGGGCAGCUGUAGUUGUUGUUGUUGGAGCUGCAGUUGUGGUUGUUGGAGCAGCAGUUGUGGUUGUUGUUGGGGCAGCUGUAGUUGUUGUUGUUGUUGGGGCGGCUGUUGUGGUUGUUGUUGGGGCAGCUGUAGUUGUUGUUGUCUGGGCUGUUGUUGUGGUUGUUGUUGUGGCGGCUGUAGUCGUUGUUGUUGGGGCGGCAGUUGUGGUUGUUGUUGGCGCAGCAGCUGUAGUCGUUGUUGGGGCAGCUGUAGUUGUUGUUGUUGGGGCAGCUGUAGUUGUUGUUGUUGGAGCAGCUGUAGUUGUUGUUGUUGGAACUGCAGUUGUGGUUGUUGGAGCAGCAGUUGUGGUUGUUGUUGGGGCAGAUGUAGUUGUUGUUGUUGGGGGAGCAGUUGUGGUUGUUGGGGCAGCUGUAGCAGUUGUUGUUGGGGCUGCAGUAGUUGUUGUUGUUAGGGCAGCAGUUGUGGUUGUUGUUGGGGCAGCUGCAGUUGUUGUUGUUGGGGCGGCUGUUGUGGUUGUUGUUGGGGCAGCUGUAGUUGUUGUUGUUGGGGCAGCAGUAGCUGUA
Long non-coding RNA from Astatotilapia calliptera (eastern happy), 2679 nucleotides. The record is from Ensembl. Lineage: Eukaryota; Metazoa; Chordata; Actinopteri; Cichliformes; Cichlidae.